CUUGGUCAUUUAGAGGAAGUAAAAGUCGUAACAAGGUUUCUGUGGGUGAACCUGCAGAAGGAUCAUU
Molecule: ribosomal RNA, 67 nt
Filed under: Puccinia tanaceti
Lineage: Eukaryota; Fungi; Basidiomycota; Pucciniomycetes; Pucciniales; Pucciniaceae
Description: partial 18S ribosomal RNA
Rfam family: Eukaryotic small subunit ribosomal RNA
Source: RNAcentral